Molecule: ribosomal RNA, 253 nt
Filed under: uncultured bacterium
Lineage: Bacteria
Description: partial 16S ribosomal RNA
Rfam family: Bacterial small subunit ribosomal RNA
Source: RNAcentral
UACAUGGGGUGCAAACGUUGCUCGGAAUCAUUGGGCGUAAAGCGCGCGUAGGCGGUUACUUAAGUUGGAUGUGAAAGCCCUCGGCUUAACUGAGGAAGUGCAUCCAAAACUGAGUAGCUAGAGUACGAAAGAGGGUCGCGGAAUUCCCGGUGUAGAGGUGAAAUUCGUAGAUAUCGGGAGGAACGCCGGUGGCGAAGGCGGCGACCUGGGUCGAGACUGACGCUGAGGCGCGAAAGCGUGGGGAGCAAACAGG